Molecule: unclassified non-coding RNA, 445 nt
Filed under: Hevea brasiliensis (rubber tree)
Lineage: Eukaryota; Viridiplantae; Streptophyta; Magnoliopsida; Malpighiales; Euphorbiaceae
Source: RNAcentral
AUCCAUUAGGUCAAAAUACUGCCAGGAAUUCGGGUAGGGUUUGAGUCUCUCAGCCCGAUAACGUUUCCGAAGCUUCUCGAUCUUAUGACGGCAUUGGGUGGCGGAUUUCGACGGCUCAUCGAAGCCGCAACGAGCUGCGACUGUAAUGGCGACUUCUUCCCAUUGGCUAGCUUUGAGCUGACCCUUUUUGAGAGAGUACCAUUUUUCCUGAUAAGCUUGGAUUAAAUUGAAAGUUUCUUGAUGGGUCCAUGGUAUAGGUUGAGUUUUCUUCUGGGGUGAUGGGAUUGGGGGAUUGGGAGAGAUUUGGGGUUGAUUUGAUUCAGGGGGAGGAAGGAGGAGGGGUGGGGGAGAUGAAGGAGUAGCCAUGGAUAUUGGUGUUUGAUGAGAUAUUGUGCUUUUGCAAGUUUUGGGUAUUGGAAAAGUUAGGUUUUUUUUUUGGAUGGUG